GGAGAUAUAACUCAGUGGUAGAGUGCUCACCUAAUAUGUGCAAGGCCCUGGGUUCAAGUCUCAGUACCA
Molecule: transfer RNA, 69 nt
Filed under: Fukomys damarensis (Damara mole-rat)
Lineage: Eukaryota; Metazoa; Chordata; Mammalia; Rodentia; Bathyergidae
Rfam family: tRNA
About the family: Transfer RNA (tRNA) molecules are approximately 80 nucleotides in length.
Source: Rfam by way of RNAcentral